RNAcentral lists this ribosomal RNA (253 nucleotides) under uncultured bacterium. RNAcentral describes it as "partial 16S ribosomal RNA". It matches the Rfam family "Bacterial small subunit ribosomal RNA", at positions 524 to 776 of the family's 1533-position model. RNAcentral also lists the same sequence under 2 other names. The record is from RNAcentral.
UACAGAGGGUGCAAGCGUUAAUCGGAAUUACUGGGCGUAAAGCGCGCGUAGGUGGUUAGUUAAGUUGGAUGUGAAAUCCCCGGGCUCAACCUGGGAACUGCAUUCAAAACUGACUGACUAGAGUAUGGUAGAGGGUGGUGGAAUUUCCUGUGUAGCGGUGAAAUGCGUAGAUAUAGGAAGGAACACCAGUGGCGAAGGCGACCACCUGGACUGAUACUGACACUGAGGUGCGAAAGCGUGGGGAGCAAACAGG